UUGAAAAAUUCCAGAACACACUGUUUUAAAGACAAUCGAUUGUUAGUCAUAGACAAUCGAUUCCAGAUCACACUGUUUUAAAGACAAUCGAUUGUUUGUCAUAGACAAUCGAUUGUUGACUGUUUUUGUAAAAUUCCAGAUCACUAUUUUAAAGACAAUCGAUUGUUGAUCAUUGACAAUCGAUUGUUUUGCAGUUUUUAUGCGAAAUAUGAGAUUACCGACUAGUUUUUCAGGUUAGUCGAUUACCUCUACUGGAAAGUAAAAAUAUUAUUGAUAUUUGAGCAUAUUGAUACAUUCUAAAGAACUAAUACUAANNNN
Molecule: long non-coding RNA, 318 nt
Filed under: Nicotiana benthamiana
Lineage: Eukaryota; Viridiplantae; Streptophyta; Magnoliopsida; Solanales; Solanaceae
Description: long non-coding RNA (NBEN_LNC024259)
Source: RNAcentral